This 527-nucleotide ribosomal RNA is filed under the name uncultured soil bacterium. RNAcentral's name for it is "bacterial SSU rRNA". It matches the Rfam family "Bacterial small subunit ribosomal RNA", at positions 94 to 645 of the family's 1533-position model. The record is from RNAcentral.
ACCGGCGUAAGGGGCAGUAAUGCAUGGGUACCUACCUUGGGGUUCGGGAUAGCCAUCAGAGAUGGUGGGUAAUACCGGAUGAUGUCGUGAGACCAAAGAUUUAUCGCCCUUAGAGGGGCCCAUGUGAUAUUAGCUAGUUGGUGAGGUAAUGGCUCACCAAGGCGAAGAUGUCUAGCGGGUGUGGGAGCACGACCCGCGCCACUCGCACUGAGACACUGGCGAGACACCUACGGGUGGCUGCAGUCGAGGAUCUUCGGCAAUGAGCGCAAGCUUGACCGAGCGACGCCGCGUGAGCGAUGAAGGCCUUCGGGUUGUAAAGCUCUUUAGUGGGGGAGAAAAGCCAGCAAUGGUGUGAUCUAUCCCAAAAAUAAGCACGGGCUAAGUUCGUGCCAGCAGCCGCGGUAAGACGAACCGUGCGAACGUUGUUCGGAAUCACUGGGCUUAAAGGGAGCGUAGGCGGGCUAUCAAGUCUGGGGUGAAAUGCCGCGGCUCAACCGUGGAACUGCCUUAGAUACUGACGGCCUCGA